UUGGUAAGAGGGAGUGAGUGCUGAGCCUUUCUCAGAAACGCUCCUGGGCGGGAAAGCAAAACUAUUUCCUUAAAAUGGCAGCUGUCACUUAAGAUGGCUAACCAGAUGUUAAGCAAGGACUUUAUACGGCCAACAAACAAUUUCUCAGACUUCUGCCUUUUUUGACUCCGAUGCCUAACCUCACCUUCAAGACUAAAAUAUUCACUCUUCAUAAUAUUUACUGUUGGGAAUCUUGGGAACUGAUUCCUAUCAAUGAAUUUCUAUGUUAAUUUGAACUCAGCCUCCCCAGAAACACACUGCAUUAGCAGAUAUAGGAGCCCCCAUACGAUGGACUUCAGUUGAAAGACAUUCUGAAGUGUUACCCCAGCCUGAAGCUCCUGGUGGGGUUGACUGAGAACUUUGUUAUGACUGUAUUAAAAUUACUUUUUCCACAUAAGCCUAA
Ictidomys tridecemlineatus (thirteen-lined ground squirrel) is the source of this 442-nucleotide non-coding RNA. The record is from RefSeq and is a predicted model, not a curated record. Lineage: Eukaryota; Metazoa; Chordata; Mammalia; Rodentia; Sciuridae.